RNAcentral lists this ribosomal RNA (386 nucleotides) under uncultured bacterium. RNAcentral's name for it is "bacterial SSU rRNA". It matches the Rfam family "Bacterial small subunit ribosomal RNA", at positions 29 to 417 of the family's 1533-position model. The record is from RNAcentral.
AUUAAACGCUGGCGGCAUGCCUUACACAUGCAAGUCGAACGGUAGCGCGGGGCAACCUGGCGACGAGUGGCGAACGGGUGAGUAAAGCAUCGGAACGUGCCCUGGAAUGGGGGAUAACGUAGCGAAAGUUACGCUAAUACCGCAUAUUCUGUGAGCAGGAAAGCAGGGGAUCGCAAGACCUUGCGUUCUGGGGAGCGGCCGAUGUCGGAUUAGCUAGUUGGUGGGGUAAAAGCCUACCAAGGCGACGAUCCGUAGCGGGUCUGAGAGGAUGAUCCGCCACACUGGGACUGAGACACGGCCCAGACUCCUACGGGAGGCAGCAGUGGGGAAUUUUGGACAAUGGGCGGAAGCCUGAUCCAGCCAUGCCGCGUGAGUGAAGAAGGCCU